RNAcentral lists this ribosomal RNA (425 nucleotides) under uncultured eukaryote. Its description in RNAcentral is "bacterial SSU rRNA". It matches the Rfam family "Eukaryotic small subunit ribosomal RNA", at positions 592 to 1018 of the family's 1831-position model. The record is from RNAcentral.
CAAUAGCGUAUAUUAAAGUUGUUGCAGUUAAAAAGCUCGUAGUUGGAUUUGUGGUGUGUCCAGUUGGCCUUUGCUCUUUGAGUGAUAGUGCUUUACUGGUCUGCCAUGUUUGGGUGGAAUCUGUGUGGCAUUAAGUUGUCGUGCAGGGGAUGCCCAAUCGUUUACUGUGAAAAAUUAGAGUGUUCAAAGCAGGCCUACGCUUGAAUACAUUAGCAUGGAAUAAUGGAAUAGGACUUUGGUGCUAUUUUGUUGGUUUAUGGGACCGAAGGUAAUGAUUAACAGGGACAGUUGGGGCCGUUUAUAUUUCGUUGUCAGAGGUGAAAUUCUUGGAUUUACGAAAGAUAAACUUCUGCGAAAGCAUUCGGCAAGGAUGUUUUCAUUGAUCAAGAACGAAAGUUAGGGGAUCGAAGACGAUCAGAUACCAU